This is a long non-coding RNA of Penaeus monodon (black tiger shrimp), 525 nucleotides long. RefSeq lists it as uncharacterized. The record is from RefSeq and is a predicted model, not a curated record. The transcript is spliced from 3 exons. Lineage: Eukaryota; Metazoa; Arthropoda; Malacostraca; Decapoda; Penaeidae.
CCAGGCAGCGGUGCCGUGCGUACGCGUGUGUGCGUGGGUCUGCGUCUCUCGGUGCCAGGCUCUGUCCAAGUUCGUGUGUGAAAGCGUGUGGACUGAAAAAUAAUAAAAACAGCGUCAGCAAUUUCAACAUUACCUCUGAAUAAUUCAAAAGAGAAAAAAAAAUAUAUUCAAAAACAAAUAUAAAACAAUGCAGUGAAGAGGAAAAACGUCUAUGAUAAUACAGGUUUGUGAAGGAAAAAUAUAUGUUUCUAAGUCCUUUUCGCGAGUGAACAGAAGACAAAAGUAAAAUGGAAAAUCCGAAUUAAAGAUUGGAUGACUGAAGUUUCGAAGCAGCGAACGAGUGCCCGUGACACGACCUUCAAUACAUGAACAGUGACCAAGUGAAAUUAGAUAAAUAAUAUAUAUAUGUAUACGUUGCUGUUGGUGGAUCGGGUCGUUGGACUUUCAAGAGGAUGACGGUCGACCUCAUUUGAAAAACGGAAAGAGGAGAUAAAAUAAUACAAAAGGUAAGUCUUAAAGAAAAAA